RNAcentral lists this ribosomal RNA (253 nucleotides) under uncultured bacterium. Its description in RNAcentral is "partial 16S ribosomal RNA". It matches the Rfam family "Bacterial small subunit ribosomal RNA", at positions 524 to 776 of the family's 1533-position model. The record is from RNAcentral.
UACGUAGGGGGCAAGCGUUGUCCGGAAUCAUUGGGCGUAAAGAGCGUGUAGGCGGCCCGGUAAGUCCGCCGUGAAAGUCCAGGGCUCAACCCUGGGAUGCCGGUGGAAACUGUCGGGCUCGAGUCCGGAAGAGGCGAGUGGAAUUCCUGGUGUAGCGGUGAAAUGCGCAGAUAUCAGGAGGAACACCAAUGGCGAAGGCAGCUCGCUGGGACGGUACCGACGCUGAGACGCGAAAGCGUGGGGAGCGAACAGG